RNAcentral lists this ribosomal RNA (406 nucleotides) under uncultured bacterium. RNAcentral's name for it is "partial 16S ribosomal RNA". It matches the Rfam family "Bacterial small subunit ribosomal RNA", at positions 29 to 526 of the family's 1533-position model. The record is from RNAcentral.
AGUGAACGCUGGCGGUAGGCCUAACACAUGCAAGUCGAACGAGUGGCGGACGGGUGAGGAAUACAUCGGAAUCUACUCUGUCGAGGGGGAUAACGGAGGGAAACUUACGCUAAUACCGCAUACGAUUCAAUGGGCCGAUGUCGGAUUAGUUAGUUGGCGGGGUAAAGGCACACCAAGGCGACGAUCCGUAGCUGGUCUGAGAGGAUGAUCAGCCACACUGGAACGGAGACACGGCCCAGACUCCUACGGGAGGCAGCAGUGGGGAAUAUUGGACAAUGGGCGCAAGCCUGAUCGAGCAAUACCGCGUGGGUGAAGAAGGCUUUCGGGUUGUAAAGCCCUUUUGUUGGGAAAGCGGUACCCAAAGAAUAAGCAACGGCUAACUUCGUGCCAGCCGCCGCGGUAAUAC